This 253-nucleotide ribosomal RNA is filed under the name uncultured bacterium. RNAcentral's name for it is "partial 16S ribosomal RNA". It matches the Rfam family "Bacterial small subunit ribosomal RNA", at positions 524 to 776 of the family's 1533-position model. The record is from RNAcentral.
UACAGAGGUCCCAAGCGUUGUUCGGAUUCACUGGGCGUAAAGGGUGCGUAGGCGGUCGGGUAAGUCUGAUGUGAAAUCUCCGAGCCUAACUCGGAAACUGCAUUGGAUACUAUUCGGCUUGAGAGUUGGAGGGGGGACUGGAAUUCUCGGUGUAGCAGUGAAAUGCGUAGAUAUCUGGAAGAACACCAGUGGCGAAGGCGGUCAACUGGCCCGUAACUGACGCUGAGGCACGAAAGCGUGGGGAGCGAACAGG